This 259-nucleotide ribosomal RNA is filed under the name uncultured prokaryote. RNAcentral describes it as "partial 16S ribosomal RNA". It matches the Rfam family "Bacterial small subunit ribosomal RNA", at positions 524 to 784 of the family's 1533-position model. The record is from RNAcentral.
UACGUAGGGGCAAGCGUUAUCCGGAUUUACUGGGUGUAAAGGGCGCGCAGGCGGUAUAUCAAGUCAGCUGUCAAAGACUGGGGCUCAACCCUGGUAUGCGGUUGAAACUGAUAUGCUGGAGUGCUGUAGAGGCAAGUGGAAUUCCCAGUGUAGCGGUGAAAUGCGUAGAUAUUGGGAAGAACACCGGUGGCGAAGGCGACUUGCUGGGCAGCAACUGACGCUGAGGCGCGAAAGCCAGGGGAGCAAACGGGAUUAGAUA